UCAGCAUACUGCCGUGAAUACGUUCCCGGGCCUUGUACACACCGACCGUCACACCAUGAGAGUUGGGAAUACCCGAAGCCUGUGAGCUAACUUAUAGAGGCAGCAGUCGAAGGUAGAAUCAAUGAUUGGGGUGAAGUCGUAACAAGGUAUC
RNAcentral lists this ribosomal RNA (151 nucleotides) under uncultured bacterium. RNAcentral describes it as "partial 16S ribosomal RNA". It matches the Rfam family "Bacterial small subunit ribosomal RNA", at positions 1349 to 1500 of the family's 1533-position model. The record is from RNAcentral.